This 492-nucleotide ribosomal RNA is filed under the name uncultured bacterium. RNAcentral's name for it is "partial 16S ribosomal RNA". It matches the Rfam family "Bacterial small subunit ribosomal RNA", at positions 29 to 507 of the family's 1533-position model. The record is from RNAcentral.
AGUGAACGCUGGCGGUAGGCCUAACACAUGCAAGUCGAACGGCAGCACAGUAAGAGCUUGCUCUUACGGGUGGCGAGUGGCGGACGGGUGAGGAAUACAUCGGAAUCUACUUUUUAGUGGGGGAUAACAUAGGGAAACUUACGCUAAUACCGCAUACGACCUACGGGUGAAAGCAGGGGAUCUUCGGACCUUGCGCGAUUGAAUGAGCCGAUGUCGGAUUAGCUAGUUGGCGGGGUAAAGGCGCACCAAGGCGACGAUCCGUAGCUGGUCUGAGAGGAUGAUCAGCCACACUGGGACUGAGACACGGUCCAGACUCCUACGGGAGGCAGCAGUGGGGAAUAUUGGACAAUGGGCGCAAGCCUGAUCCAGCCAUACCGCGUGGGUGAAGAAGGCCUUCGGGUUGUAAAGCCCUUUUGUUGGGAAAGAAAAGCAGCAGGUUAAUACCCCGCUGUUCUGACGGUACCCAAAGAAUAAGCACCGGCUAACUUCGUG